UGUUCUCUUAGGUCAUCAAUGGAAUAUGAACCCCUGGAAAGAAGCUGGUCCCAAUAUGAAACUAACACAGAGUCUCCAGCCCAGGCGUAUUUUUGCUGAACAGGUUUUGUGAUGUUGAAAUCCCCAGGGCAAAUGUUUGAAGUACCUGUUACAACACAGCCUGCUAGCUGCCCUACCUCUACUACCUCCUCCUCCUUCCUGCCCUGUCAACCAAACACAAAUGUGUAGGAAUGUCUCCCUCUUUCUCUCUCACACACACACACCCUGUUCUAGUGGACACAGUAGGGUGCCAACAUGAAAUACAUUGAAAGAAGUGAAUGUGUAAUGAAUCUAUUGAUUAAAUGUGACUAUGCCACGGUGUGUCAUAUGUAGCCUGUCCAUUACAUGUUCACUAUCUCUCACAUCAACAUAAUACUGAGCCUGAACCUCUUACAAACAUGAUCUAGUUAUUAUGGCAGAAGCAUAGCGCAGUAUGACAUGUCUGAACAGUGGUGUGUAGCCUACAUUUUGCGGCUGCGCCGAUGAGCGCUGAUUUUACUGUAGAAAUGUAGUCCUACCUGAUGCCCCACGGACGGCAACAAAAUGAAAGCUACGCGUCGCUAUUGACUGUAAAAUACGUAUGAUAACUCACAGAAUGUCAUUAGGGAGGUAGGUCGUAAUUUUGAAAAGUACAUUUAUUCAGAAAAGUAGGCCAAUAUAAUUGAACAGGGAAGACCUUGAAUAAAGAGCAUCGAACGCUCCCUCGGGAAUUCUCUUCGAAUGAAGAGAUUCUAAUCGCAGUUCAAGAUGCGCACCGAAUGGGGGAGGGCAAAAUGCUAUUAAAAUCACUAAUAAAAACACAUUCCAAAAUAUUUACAUAACUUAUAUUAUGAGUAGGCCUAUAUCGUAUGUCAAUAACCUGUGGUAUCAACUUUUUAUAGUUGUAGAAGCUUACCUUGUAGACAUUCUCCGUUAUGCGGUGAACCUCGUCGGUGCGAGACAUCUUGAAAUCUUCGGUCAAAACCAUAAACAGUAUUUUCCUUUAGAGAGAAGUUAUCCGAGUGAAAUACGCCGAAUGGGUAGAGAGAGUAGCCUAAACGAAGAGACGAUGUGAUGCAAUUUACCGCGAAGGUACGUGUGCCUGAAAGAAAGACAGUAACCGGAAGAUUCUCUUGGUCGGUUGCACCCACUCAAAUCCCUCUCACGCAAUCAAUCUCUGCGGUGUUCGCCAAAGCGUCUUGUCACAUCGCGGAGCUUUUCCAAUUACAAGAGCACCACCCGCCUUCUCUGAAACACCGCCUCUCCCCUUCUCUCUCUGCCCAAAUAUGUUAAACUAGUUGCAUUAUUCAUUUGGAUUUCUGACAUUGAUUUCAAAUCAAAUUGAUUUAUAACGCCAAAUGUAUUUAUAAAGUGCUUACACAGAAACCCAGCCUAAAACCCCAAACAGCAAGCGUUGCAGAAGCACGGUGGCAAGGAUUUAUUAUAGUUCUAUAAAGCUUAAUAUUUUAUAAAUAUAUACAGUGCCUAUAGAAAGUCCAAAAAUGGCAAAGACACAUUUUGGCCUGAAUGCAAAGCCUUAUGUUUGAGGAAAAUCCAACAACACAUCACUGAGUAACUGCCUCCUUAUUUUCAAGCACAGUAGUGGCUGCAUCAUGUUAUGGGUAUGCUUGACAUCGGCAAAUACUGGUCAAUUUUUCAGGAUGAAAAGAAAUGGGAUGGCGCUAAGCAUAGGUAAAAUCCUAGAGGAAAACCUGCUUCAGUCUGCUUCACACCAGACACUGGGAGAGGAAUUCACCUUUCAACAGGACAAUAACCCACAACACAAAGCCAAAUGUACAGCGGAGUAGUUUACCAAGAAGACAGUGACUGUUCCUGAUUGGCCAAGUUACAAUCUGCUUGAAAAUAUAUGGAACACAUUGAAAAAAAGAAUGGGCAAAUGUUGCACAAUUCAGUUGUGGAGAGCUUUAAUGAGACUUACCCAGAAAGCCUCACAGCUGUAAUCGCUGCCAAUGGUGCUUCUACAAAGUAUUGACUCAGCAGUGUGAAUACUUACGUAAAUGAGAUAUUUCCGUAUUUCAUUUUCAAUAAAUUUACUAAACGUUCUACAAAUAUGUUUUCACUUUAUGUUGUACUGUGUGUAGAUGGCGUUUAAUUAUUUAUUUUAUCUAAUCAAGAUGUUUUAUUUUUCAUUCAUCUUUGGGUGUUUUGUGUAGCUUGCUGACAUAAAACAAAAAAGUAUAAUUUUUAAUCCCACUUUGUAACACAUUAAAAUGUGAAUAAAUGCAAGGGGGCUGUAGACUUUCUACAGGGACUGUCUGACUGCAUCUACACUUCAGGUGACUGCAUCUACACUUCAGGCGACUGCAUCUAUGACUGCAUCUACACUUCAGGCGACUGCAUCUACACUUCAGGCGACUGCAUCUACACUUCAGGCGACUGCAUCUACACUUCAGGCGACUGCAUCUAUGACUGCAUCUACACUUCAGGCGACUGCAUCUACACUUCAGGCGACUGCAUCUACACUUCAGGCGACUGCAUCUACACUUCAGGCGACUGCAUCUACACUUCAGGUGAUAUAGUGAAACUAAACAUCACAAAAAUAUUUAAAACAAAGAAUGACGAUUACUUUUUUAAAAUCACUAUCAUCAUGGAAAUAUUUGUUACUAAAACAAAAUCAAUAGCCUCACAUACCAAACCUACAAGUCAAGUCAUGUAACACCAAUUCAGACUGUACGAAACUGAACAAAGACCUGGUGAAGGACACAAGUCCUUUUCUCACAGGGGAAGUAUAAUUGAAACGGUCAGUUGCUGCUGGAGAAUAACACCAGGGAAUGUUUUCAUUAAGUGUCCUGGAUGUCUCAUAAUGUGACAAAUGGAGUAUAGCGCUGUGUGGAACACACCCACCAUUAUGGAUACAAUGGUUUUUACAUAGAGAGAUGAUCCAUUAUACAAGGAGCCAGCGUAGUUUAUGAAGGAAGAUGUCCACAACAUUAGAAGACUACCUUUCACAGGAAUGUGAACCAGACUUCCUGUUCCUGAUCAGCUCUUCACCAGCAGUAGGAGGUCUGUAGUUCUGGCUUCAGGAAACUAGACUUCCUGUUCCUGAUCAGCUAGUCACCAGCAGUAGGAGGUCUGUAGUUCUGGCUUCAGGAAACUAGACUUCCUGUUCCUGAUCAGCUAGUCACCAGCAGUAGGAGGUCUGUAGUUCUGGCUUCAGGAAACUAGACUUCCUGUUCCCGAUCAGCUCAUCACCAGCAGUAGGAGGUCUGUAGUUCUGGCUUCAGGAAACCAGACUUCCUGUUCCUGAUCAGCUAGUCACCAGCAGUAGUAGGUCUGUAGUUCUGGCUUCAGGAAACUAGACUUCCUGUUCCCGAUCAGCUAGUCACUAGCAGUAGGAGGUCUGUAGUUCUGGCUUCAGGAAACCAGACUUCCUGUUCCCGAUCAGCUAGUCACCAGCAGUAGGAGGUCUGUAGUUCUGGCUUCAGGAAACUAGACUUCCUGUUCCUGAUCAGCUCGUCACCAGCAGUAGGAGGUCUGUAGUUCUGGCUUCAGGAAACCAGACUUCCUGUUCCUGAUCAGCUCGUCACCAGCAGUAGGAGGUCUGUAGUUCUGGCUUCAGGAAACCAGACUUCCUGUUCCUGAUCAGCUCGUCACCAGCAGUAGGAGGUCUGUAGUUCUGGCUUCAGGAAACCAGACUUCCUGUUCCUGAUCAGCUAGUCACCAGCAGUAGGAGGUCUGUAGUUCUGGCUUCAGGAAACCAGACUUCCUGUUCCUGAUCAGCUAGUCACCAGCAGUAGGAGGUCUGUAGUUCUGGCUUCAGGGCAGCAGCAGUGUGGGCCGAAGCCUUGUGGGUGGAAUCCAGUCCACAUCUGACUUGGGCUCCAGCCAGCCAGGCAGAGAGCUGUGGUAUACUGCUCAGAGAGGGAGACAGACAGGCAGAGAGCUGUGGUAUACUGCUCAGAGAGGGAGACAGGUAGACAGAGCUGUGGUAUACUGCUCAGAGAGGGAGACAGGCAGGCAGAGAGCUGUGGUAUACUGCUCAGAGAGGGAGACAGGUAGACAGAGCUGUGGUAUACUGCUCAGAGAGGGAGACAGGUAGGCAGAGAGCUGUGGUAUACUGCUCAGAGAGGGAGACAGGCAGGCAGAGAGCUGUGGUAUACUGCUCAGAGAGGGAGACAGGCAGGCAGAGAGCUGUGGUAUACUGCUCAGAGAGGGAGACAGACAGGCAGAGAGCUGUGGUAUACUGCCCAGAGAGGGAGACAGACAGGCAGAGAGCUGUGGUAUACUGCCCAGAGAGGGAGACAGACAGGCAGAGAGCUGUGGUAUACUGCUCAGAGAGGGAGACAGACAGGCAGAGAGCUGUGGUAUACUGCUCAGAGAGGGAGACAGACAGGCAGAGAGCUGUGGUAUACUGCCCAGAGAGGGAGACAGACAGGCAGAGAGCUGUGGUAUACUGCUCAGAGAGGGAGACAGGUAGACAGAGCUGUGGUAUACUGCUCAGAGGGAGACAGGUCAGUCAGGGAGUGGGUGAGAUGCCAGUGCCAAUACUCCUGUCCUCACCUUGACUAGGCCAGUAAGUGGACUGUUGUGGGAACAGUUCUACUAACCCACACAAUGACGUCAUAGCUUCGUGUUCCAAUGUUUGACUGUCAAGACAGGUCCAACAUAUUGUAUCCUCUUUAAAUACAGCAACAAUACCUUAUCCUCUGGUCAUAUAAACAUGCUUUACAAUAACGAUAUGCAACCAUCUGCAUAAACAUAUUUGGAUAGAAAACGUUGUACCCUAUACCAGGGGUGUACAACUCUUACCCUAUGAGGUCCAGAGACAGCUGGUUUUGGAUAGAAAACGUUGUACCCUAUACCAGGGGUGUACAACUCUUACCCUAUGAGGUCCAGAGACAGCUGGUUUUGGAUAGAAAACGUUGUACCCUAUACCAGGGGUGUACAACUCUUACCCUAUGAGGUCCAGAGACAGCUGGUUUUGGAUAGAAAACGUUGUACCCUAUACCAGGGGUGUACAACUCUUACCCUAUGAGGUCCAGAGACACCUGGUUUUGGAUAGAAAACGUUGUACCCUAUACCAGGGGUGUACAAC
This is a long non-coding RNA of Oncorhynchus keta (chum salmon), 5074 nucleotides long. RefSeq lists it as uncharacterized. The record is from RefSeq and is a predicted model, not a curated record. Lineage: Eukaryota; Metazoa; Chordata; Actinopteri; Salmoniformes; Salmonidae. The transcript has 4 exons.